GUGCGCUGAACUUUGGGCCCCGCGGGAGCAGCACGGUCACCAUUCCACGGGAACGGCUGGCGGCUGGCGUGGAGUACACCUUCAGCCUCACCGUGUGGAAGGCCGGCCGCAAGGAGGAGGCCACCAACCAGACGGUGGGUGCCGCCCGCCCCUCGGCCACUUGCCUUGGACAGCCCAGCCUCCCUGCUCAUCUACUGUUUUCCGUGUUUUAGUGCUGGUGGAGGCCGCGCGCUCUUCCCUCUCUGUUUCUGAUGCAAAUUCUACGUAACACGACAGCCUGCUUCAGCUUUGCUUCCUUCCAAACCUGCCACAGUUCCACAUACAGUCUUCAAGCCACAUAUGCUCUAGUGACAAAAGCUACACAGUCCCCCAGCAAUACCAACAGUGAGGAAGAGCCCCUUCCCACCCCAGAGGCAGCCACUGUCCCCAGCCCAUGUCCCUGUUGCUGGAUGUGGUGGGCCGGUUCUCACCCUCACGCUCCCCACUCUGGACCGGCCAGGAGGCUUGGUGACCCUGAGCCCGUGGUGGCUGCUCCUGCUGCUGUCAGGCGGGGCCUGCUGGUGCCCCAGAGUGGGUGUCUGUUCCCCAGUCCCUGCUUCCCUCAACGGGCCUGAUUGGGGGUCUGCCCAGAGGGGUCGUCUGAGGGGAGGGUGUGGGAGCAGGUUCCAUCCCGGCUCAGCCUCCUGACCCAGGCCCUGGCUAAGGGCUGCAGGAGUCUGUGAGUCAGGCCUACGUGGCAACUGCGGUCCUCACACCCACACAUACGUCUGUUCCCACACGCAUCCCCCCAGGGGCCCUCAGUGAGCAUUGCCUGCCUCCUGCCAGGGUCCAGCUGGGUCCAGUACACCAGAACGCACACCCCAGUGUCCUCUGCCCUGUGUAUGCCCUUCCGCCGCCCAGGUUGGAAGGUGGCAAACCGGAUGAGUAUCCUGGGAGGGGGUGAGCUCACCGGCAGUGGCCAGGCCCCUGGGAAACCUGGAGUUUGGGAGCAGCAUCCUCCACGGGUCCCCCAGACCUUCCAGCAGGCCAAAUAGACCUGUGUUGGAGGUAACCCCACUCCCACGCCAGGUGCUGAUCCGCAGUGGCCGGGUGCCCAUUGUGUCCUUGGAGUGUGUGUCCUGCAAGGCACAGGCCGUGUACGAAGUGAGCCGCAGCUCCUACGUGUACCUGGAGGGCCGCUGCCUCAAUUGCAGCAGCGGCUCCAAGCGAGGGCGGUGGGCUGCACGUACGUUCAGCAACAAGACACUGGUGCUGGAUGAGACCACCACAUCCACGGGCAGCGCAGGCAUGUGACUGGUGCUGCGGCGGGGCGUGCUGCGGGACGGCGAGGGAUACACCUUCACGCUGACGGUGCUGGGCCGCUCUGGCGAGGAGGAGGGCUGCGCCUCCAUCCCCCUGUCCCCCAACCGCCCGCCGCUGGGGGGCUCUUGCCGCCUCUUCCCACUGGGCGCUGUGCACGCCCUCACCACCAAGGUGCACUUCGAAUGCACGGGCUGGCAUGACGCGGAGGAUGCUGGCGCCCCGCUGGUGUACGCCCUGCUGCUGCAGCGCUGUCGCCAGGGCCACUGCGAGGAGUUCUGUGUCUACAAGGGCAGCCUCUCCGGCUACGGAGCCGUGCUGCCCCCGGGUUUCAGGCCACACUUCGAGGUGGGCCUGGCCGUGGUGGUGCAGGACCAGCUGGGAGCCGCUGUGGUCGCCCUCAACAGGUCUCUGGCCAUCACCCUCCCAGAGCCCAACGGCAGCGCAAUGGGGCUCACAGUCUGGCUGCACGGGCUCACCGCUAGUGUGCUCCCGGGGCUGCUGCGGCAGGCCGAUCCCCAGCACGUCAUCGAGUACUCGCUGGCCCUGGUCACCGUCCUGAACGAGCCACACCCACCGGGCCCUCUCCGGCGUCUGCUUUCCACAAUGCAGCCCCCGCCCAGGAGGGCCCAUGUGCUUACCCUGUUUUGCCCAUGAAGAAACAGCUCAGUGUUGCGGGUCAAUGCCCACAUCACACAGCAUCUAGCACGUAACUGCACCCCGGGAGUCGUGGGCAUCUGCUGGCCUCCUGCCGGUCUCCUGCCCUGCUGACAGCUUGCUGUGCCGCCUGCCUGCCCCAGUACGAGCGGGCCCUGGACGUGGCGGCAGAGCCCAAGCACGAGCGGCAGCGCCGAGCCCAGAUACGCAAGAACAUCACGGAGACUCUGGUGUCCCUGAGGGUCCACACUGUGGAUGACAUCCAGCAGAUCGCUGCUGCGCUGGCCCAGUGCAUGGGGCCCAGCAGGGAGCUCGUAUGCCGCUCGUGCCUGAAGCAGACGCUGCACAAGCUGGAGGCCAUGAUGCGCAUCCUGCAGGCAGAGACCACCGCGGGCACCGUGACGCCCACCGCCAUCGGAGACAGCAUCCUCAACAUCACAGGAGACCUCAUCCACCUGGCCAGCUCAGACGUGCGGGCACCACAGCGCUCAGAGCUGGGAGCCGAGUCACCAUCGCGGAUGGUGGCGUCCCAGGCCUACAACCUGACCUCUGCCCUCAUGCGCAUCCUCACGCGCUCCCGCGUGCUCAACGAGGAGCCCCUGACACUGGCGGGCGAGGAGAUCGUGGCCCAGGGCAAGCGCUCGGACCCGCGGAGCCUGCUGUGCUAUGGCGGCGCCCCAGGGCCUGGCUGCCACUUCUCCAUCCCCUAGGCUUUCAGCAGGGCCCCGGCUAACCUCAGUGACGUGGUGCAGCUCAUCUUUCUGGUGGACUCCAAUCCCUUUCCCUUUGGCUAUAUCAGCAACUACACCGUCUCCACCAAGGUGGCCUCGAUGGCGUUCCAGACACAGGCCGGCGCCCAGAUCCCCAUCGAGCGGCUGGCCUCAGAGCGCGCCAUCACCGUGAAGGUGCCCAACAACUCGGACUGGGCUGCCCGGGGCCACCGCAGCUCUGCCAACUCCGUUGUGGUCCAGCCCCAGGCCUCCGUCGGUGCUGUGGUCACCCUGGACAGCAGCAACCCUGCGGCCGUGCUGCAUCUGCAGCUCAACUAUACGCUGCUGGACGGCCGCUACCUGUCUGAGGAACCCGAGCCCUACCUGGCAGUCUACCUGCACUCGGAGCCCCGGCCCAAUGAGCACAACUGCUCGGCUAGCAGGAGGAUCCGCCCAGAGUCCCUCCAGGGUGCCGACCACCGGCCCUACACCUUCUUCAUUUCCCCGGGGACCAGAGACCCAGUGGGGAGUUACCGUCUGAACCUCUCCAGCCACUUCCGCCUGUCGGCGCUGGAGGUGUCCGUGGGCCUGUACACGUCCCUGUGCCAGUACUUCAGCGAGGAGGACGUGGUGUGGCGGACAGAGGGGCUGCUGCCCCUGGAGGAGACCUCGCCCCGCCAGGCCGUCUGCCUCACCCGCCACCUCACCGCCUUCGGCGCCAGCCUCUUCGUGCCCCCAAGCCAUGUACGCUUUGUGUUUCCUGAGCCGACAGCGGAUGUAAACUACAUCGUCAUGCUGACAUGUGCUGUGUGCCUGGUGACCUACAUGGUCAUGGCCGCCAUCCUGCACAAGCUGGACCAGUUGGAUGCCAGCCGGGGCCGCGCCAUCCCCUUCUGUGGGCAGCGGGGCCGCUUCAAGUACGAGAUCCUCGUCAAGACAGGCUGGGGCCGGGGCUCAGGUACCACGGCCCACGUGGGCAUCAUGCUGUAUGGGGUGGACAGCCGGAGCGGCCACCGGCACCUGGAUGGCGACAGAGCCUUCCACCGCAACAGCCUGGACAUCUUCCGGAUCGCCACCCCGCACAGCCUGGGUAGCGUGUGGAAGAUCCGAGUGUGGCACGACAAAGGGCUCAGCCCUGCCUGGUUCCUGCAGCACGUCAUCGUCAGGGACCUGCAGACGGCACACAGCACCUUCUUCCUGGUCAAUGACUGGCUUUCGGUGGAGACGGAGGCCAACGGGGGCCUGGUGGAGAAGGAGGUGCUGGCCGCGAGUCACGCAGCCCUGUUGCGCUUCCGGCGCCUGCUGGUGGCUGAGCUGCAGUGCGGCUUCUUUGACAAGCACAUCUGGCUCUCCAUAUGGGACCGGCCGCCUCGUAGCUGUUUCACUCGCAUCCAGAGGGCCACCUGCUGCGUUCUCCUCAUCUGCCUCUUCCUGGGCGCCAACGCCGUGUGGUACGGGGCUGUUGGUGACUCUGCCUACAGCACGGGGCAUGUGUCCAGGCUGAGCCCGCUGAGCGUCGACACAGUCGCUGUUGGCCUGGUGUCCAGCGUGGUUGUCUAUCCCGUCUACCUGGCCAUCCUCUUUCUCUUCUGGAUGUCCCGGAGCAAGGUGGCUGGGAGCCCGAGCCCCACACCUGCCGGGCAGCAGGUGCUGGACAUCGACAGCUGCCUGGACUCGUCCGUGCUGGACAGCUCCUUCCUCACGUUCUCAGGCCUCCACGCUGAGGUUAUCAAUACUCUGGCUGACCAUCGUCAUCGUGGGACUGACUUUGGUGGAAGUCCUUGGUUACUUAUCAUUACUGUGUUUCUGAGAAGUUAUAAAUUUGCCAUCUCCCUCUGCACAACUUACCUUUGGGUUAUCAAUACUCUGGCUGACCAUCGUCAUCGUGGGACUGACUUUGGUGGAAGUCCUUGGUUACUUAUCAUUACUGUGUUUCUGAGAAGUUAUAAAUUUGCCAUCUCCCUCUGCACAACUUACCUUUGUGUGUCUUUCCUGAAGACUAUCUUCCCGUCUCAAAAUGGACAUGAUGGAUCCACGGAUGUACAGCAGAGAGCCAGGAGGUCCAACCGCCGUAGACAGGAAGGAAUUAAAAUUGUCCUGGAAGACAUCUUUACUUUAUGGAGACAGGUGGAAACCAAGGUUCGAGCUAAAAUCCGUAAGAUGAAGGUGACAACAAAAGUCAACCGUCAUGACAAAAUCAAUGGAAAGAAGAAGACCGCCAAAGAACAUCUGAGGAAACUAAGCAUGAAAGAACGUGAGCACGGAGAAAAGGAGAGGCAGGUGUCAGAGGCAGAGGAAAACGGGAAAUUGGAUAUGAAAGAAAUACACACCUACAUGGAAAUGUUUCAACGUGCGCAAGCGUUGCGGCGGCGGGCAGAGGACUACUACAGAUGCAAAAUCACCCCUUCUGCAAGAAAGCCUCUUUGCAACCGGUGCACUUACAAUUUGGUAUUACCUGGGAGUGAAAAGAAAUAUUACAGCCAUGCCUAACUGACUUCUUGAGGUCAGAAUGGCGGCAGCAGAGCAUCGUCAUUCUUCAGGAUUGCCCUGCUGGCCCUACCUCACAGCUGAAACUUUAAAAAACAGGAUGGGCCACCAGCCACCUCCUCCAACUCAACAACAUUCUAUAACUGAUAACUCCCUGAGCCUCAAGACACCUGCGGAGUGUCUGCUCUAUCCCCUUCCACCCUCAGCGGAUGAUAAUCUCAAGACACCUCCGAGUGUCUGCUCACUCCCCUUCCACCCUCAGCUCCACCCUCAGCGGAUGAUAAUCUCAAGACACCUCCCAAGUGUGUCUGCUCACUCCCCUUCCACCCUCAGUGGAUGAUAAUCUGAAGAAACUAACGAAGAAUAAAUAAAUAAUAUAAAAAU
Molecule: unclassified non-coding RNA, 5537 nt
Filed under: Homo sapiens (human)
Lineage: Eukaryota; Metazoa; Chordata; Mammalia; Primates; Hominidae
Description: novel transcript (ENSG00000290515.1)
Source: RNAcentral